UUAUUAAUCAUAAAUAUGAUGUUUAUAUAUAAGAGCUAUUUUAUGAUUAUUGUGUUCCCUAUUUGUUUCACUGUUUGUGUAUUUGGAUUUCUCUAUUUGAAAAUUUAUAUUGUACAAAUUCUCAAUUUUGUGAUAUGCUAAUUAACAUUUGAUCCAUCCUUUUUAUUAUUUUAUUGGUUAUACAUUUUAUCAUUGUUAUUUUGCUAGUUACAAAUAAAUUCAUUGCAAUUUUACGACAUCGUUCACUAAUAGUUGGUUCACAUUAGCUAAUGGUUUGAGAAUAGGCAUCAAAAGUGAAAGUGGAAGUUCUCAGCUAAGGCCAAAAUCAUGUGGCUAGUC
This 339-nucleotide long non-coding RNA is filed under the name Elaeis guineensis (African oil palm). Its description in RNAcentral is "long non-coding RNA (EGUI_LNC004597)". The record is from RNAcentral. Lineage: Eukaryota; Viridiplantae; Streptophyta; Magnoliopsida; Arecales; Arecaceae.